ACAUAUAUAUAAUAUUCCUCUUCGUAGGAAGAAAAAUAAUUUAAAAAUAUUAUGCUCGGAAAAAUUUUCAUAAACCGGCAUCAUUCGAUUUCUCGAUAAAAAUAAACUGCACUUGCUUUGUAAACUUAAUAAAAAUUCCAAGUGCUAAGGUCUCAAAUAAAAAUCAUAAUAAUAUGGUCAUAUUGACACACGUCACAAAAUCACAUAAUCAUUCAGUCACGUAAAUUCACAUAACAUCAC
This 240-nucleotide long non-coding RNA is filed under the name Salvia miltiorrhiza (redroot sage). RNAcentral's name for it is "long non-coding RNA (SMIL_LNC008890)". Lineage: Eukaryota; Viridiplantae; Streptophyta; Magnoliopsida; Lamiales; Lamiaceae. The record is from RNAcentral.